Molecule: long non-coding RNA, 301 nt
Filed under: Apteryx owenii (little spotted kiwi)
Lineage: Eukaryota; Metazoa; Chordata; Aves; Apterygiformes; Apterygidae
Description: lncRNA (ENSAOWG00000000134.1)
Source: RNAcentral
GCCUUGGGGCGCAUGCGUGCUAAGCAAAUUUUUUCGGGGGGUGGCGCAUGCGCGGUGGUUGCGGGCGCGAAGGGCCCCGGUAUGGCGGGAGUCGGUGGCAGCAGCGUUGCGCAGCUCUCUCCGGCUUCCGCGCUGGGUUGCUCUCCUGUGCCGUGUCUGGUGCCUCUGUCUCGCAGCAGCACCUUGUUCGCUUAUUUUCUCUUAAAUGGUGAAUAGAUGAGAAGGCUCCCCCUGCUUCUUGUUAGAGUGGAAGACAGACACUUCAUGGAUCCUGAUUAGAAACAAGAUGAGAAGUCAUCAG